AUUGCCUUGAAUGCAAGGCUCUAGUUAAAGAGGUUCUCUCCGCUCAAGUGUGCUGCUUAUCUUCCCUCAGAUGCCUGUGGCACCACUUCUUCUUUCUUUCAUUUGCCUAGUCAUCAUUUGGCAAACCCUCACGGUGCCUUCCUUCUCCUGCGUUAUACCUACGGCCAGCGUUCCCUCCCUGAAGCAGAGGACUGCCCCCUGGAGUGUCUGCAGUCUCACGCAUUCCCCACCUUCCUCGGGGCUUGCUUUACGUCUUCAUUCUUUGAAGACCUUUGGUUUAAGCAACCGAACACACCUGACGCUUGCCCAGGAAAGUCAACUCAGAAAAUUCCCGGAGAGCCAGGGAUCGUUAGGACUCGUUCUACUUCUGCUAAACUCAGAGAGCUCGAUUAAUUUCCCCAGAAAAUAAAACAGAAGAACUAUCCACGCUGCUCACCUUCUGUGCACCUGGCCCCUCCGAUCCUUGCUCCCCUGUUGGUGUCGGGCGAGAUGGACGAACUCUGAGGCUUCUGCCUAUUUUGGGAUGGACUCAGAAACAGCAGGAAUGUUCUGGCAAUGGCAGUGCGCACAUCCAGGGAGCCUCGGUUUGAAAACAGUGGCGUGCUUGCCUCGGAAGGCCUGGGUCUCAGUUCCAACAUCAUUAAUGCUCUGGCAGAAUCAGUGCUGCAUGUGGAUGCUGCUGCCUGCUGAGUGAGGAGACAGUGAGAUAUAGAAGACGCGUCCAAAAAAAUCUGCAUGGGCUCUCCCCUCCCUUCCCUUCCAAUUGCAGCGCACACCUGUGGCUCGAGCCUCCACGCCGGGACCGCCUGCUGCCCAGGAGCAAGUGCAAGUAAACCAGAGACAUCCCUCCAGCAUGUCACCUGCUCUGUCCUCCAGCUCUUCAGUGCUGAACGCUGGGUGUCUUUAAAGGCUGCCAUUUCUGGCGCUUGUGAGAGCAGCACUUUUCUAGAAGCUCCUAUGGGGCCUCUGCUUUCUGUAGGAACAGUGUCACAUGUGGCAAAUUACACUGCCUCUGGGAGAAAUAAAACUGUCAAACCACGCUGCAGUGGGGGCAGCGGACAGGCAAACAUACUCUUAACAGGUGUCCUGCUAGAGGGGAGAUCUCUGGAUGCAGCCUGCAUCUGGGCAGCUCAGUCCUAGCAAGGAGGUGCCCUUCACAGAAUGGGCAGUAGAAAACUUUUCUGCUCUUGACAGGUGUGGUGGUGGCGCAAGGGCUGAACGGAGCGGGUUGGCGCUGGCACAGUGGAGCCCUGAGGGCCUGCCUCCUCUCAGGAUGCUUCUCUGGGGCUGCUGCCCUAAGAAAUGACUAGUGGGGCACCCCCAUCCCCACCUCACCCUUCCCACAUAUCCACCAGCGGAUUUGAGCCUUUGCCAACUGCAAAACCAAAGAGAGCCAGGGCUGGGGCCAAGACUGUGGGCUCAGAGCCACUCUGGUGCAUGUGUCUGGCUCAUCCUUCACCUGGUCCUGUCUCUCAGAGGCCUCUGAGAAGAAGCGACAUCUGCUAGUUGCCACCAAUACAUUUCCCUUCCCCGACAGUGCUGCUAACCAGACGCGGGGACCAUUGG
RNAcentral lists this long non-coding RNA (1566 nucleotides) under Equus caballus (horse). Its description in RNAcentral is "lncRNA (ENSECAG00000053828.1)". The record is from RNAcentral. Lineage: Eukaryota; Metazoa; Chordata; Mammalia; Perissodactyla; Equidae.